CAGUAGCCGCGGGAAAACGAAGGGGGCUAGCGUUGCUCGGAAUUACUGGGCGUAAAGGGAGCGUAGGCGGAUCGUUUAGUCAGGGGUGAAAUCCCGGGGCUCAACCUCGGAACUGCCUUUGAUACUGGCGAUCUUGAGUAUGGGAGAGGUGUGUGGAACUCCGAGUGUAGAGGUGAAAUUCGUAGAUAUUCGGAAGAACACCAACGGCGAAAGCACUCUGCUGGGCCGACACUGACACUGAGAGACGAAAGCUAGGGGAGCAAAUGGGAUUAGAUACCCCCGUAGUCCCUGUCUCUUAUAC
This 301-nucleotide ribosomal RNA is filed under the name uncultured bacterium. RNAcentral describes it as "partial 16S ribosomal RNA". It matches the Rfam family "Bacterial small subunit ribosomal RNA", at positions 509 to 807 of the family's 1533-position model. The record is from RNAcentral.